RNAcentral lists this ribosomal RNA (306 nucleotides) under uncultured bacterium. Its description in RNAcentral is "partial 16S ribosomal RNA". It matches the Rfam family "Bacterial small subunit ribosomal RNA", at positions 507 to 807 of the family's 1533-position model. The record is from RNAcentral.
GACAGCAGCCGCCGCGGUAAUACAGAGGGUGCGAGCGUUAAUCGGAUUUACUGGGCGUAAAGCGUGCGUAGGCGGCUUUUUAAGUCGGAUGUGAAAUCCCUGAGCUUAACUUAGGAAUUGCAUUCGAUACUGGGAAGCUAGAGUAUGGGAGAGGAUGGUAGAAUUCCAGGUGUAGCGGUGAAAUGCGUAGAGAUCUGGAGGAAUACCGAUGGCGAAGGCAGCCAUCUGGCCUAAUACUGACGCUGAGGUACGAAAGCAUGGGGAGCAAACAGGAUUAGAGACCCCCGUAGUCCCUGUCUCUUAUAC